AAAUCUGUUUAAUGGUCAUUCAUGUUAGUAGAUUUAUAUAAACAGAAAACAGUUCCAUUUUUUCUUUAAGAAGCAAUCAAGCAAAACACUAGGACCAAUACAAUUAAUAGCUCAAAGACUUGGAUACAAUGGCCACGCUGAGUAAGACAUGAGCGCCAUCUGGAGGAUCCACUUGAAACUACAGUGCAGCAUCUGAAGAACCUGUGAAGUAUUAAGGUACCAUUUGUGGAUAGGAGUUAGGAAUGAGCUACCUUUAUGCCACAACCUGAACUCCUAUUAUUUCAAGCUUCCACGAGAGGACUGAGAAUAUUGUGACUGAGUGAAGUGCUUUUAGCAGAGAUGGGAAAUGAAAUUUUAACAUCUGAGGAGUACUGACGUUAGCUCAUUAGUAAAUAUAAGUCAGAAGUAAUAGGCAAGAGGGAAAUUGGUAAAUGAGUCCCAACCCGCUGUAUCCUGAUGCCCCAUCUCCUUGCCCUGAGUAGGGCCUCAUACAAAUCCAUCAGAAUUUUUAAUCACAAGAUAUAAAUGACUCAUAAUUUAGGUUUUCCAGAGGCAUUUACAUUUUAAUAUAGAGAGAUAAUGGGGAGAAUCUCCAGAUGUCACCUGUUGGGGAGGCUAUGGUGGAGCAAAACAAUCACCUCCUAUAGCAAAUACUUAAUUCUUUUAAAUAAACUAGGCCUGUUCCUUGCUGAUACACUCAUUUUAAUGAAAAUGUUCUAAAAGGGAACUUAAUCACUCAAAAGUGUGAGGAGUUUAAAACAUUUGCAUUUUCUAUGUUUAUAUAUUUCUAACAAGACACUGAUUAUUCUAUUUAUUUGUCUGUUUGGUUUUUUUUAAGAUACUGGUAUUUUAAUGAGAUACCUAGUCCCCAAAGCUGUCAAAUAGCUCUGGUGAAAAACUUGAUUUUUAAAAAACUUCCUAUCACUUGAAGGACCAAUACCUGUGUAUAUUAAAGUGAUAAUUUCAUGGCAAUAUCUUAGAGCGUAGUCUAUCUGAACUUGUCACAGACUGUUUAGAGUGUGUCAACUGGCCUUAGUCUGUCGACUGCAUGUGAAGAUCAAUGUUGCUGUCCUAUUUCCUAUUUUCUAAAAAAAUACCUGCAUAUGACCGGAAAAUCUCUGUCCAUCAGGACCAUCACUAUAUUCAAGAGCCUGACUUACACCUUCCUCCCAACUUUUAGAAGAAUAAGGCCUUUGAAUCCAUAAAAAGGAACAUUUCAGACAUUUUCUAGUCUUCAUUUUAAAGUGACCCUCUUCUUGUGAUGUGUUUGUACAACUCCAAUUCCCUUGUUUAGUUCAACUGUCUUCAGUUUUGCCAACUUUAUUUGUGAUGAAUUUGGCCUAGACACCAGAGGCUUAUGUAAGUAAGACACCUGGGUAGCACAGAAUUUCAGAUAUUUAAAUAUUAAUAGGGAAAUCCAUCUAGGAAAUCCACAUAGCAGACAAGACAUAUACUUUCUUGAUACGAAGAUUAUAGGAAAGCUUCAGUUGAGGUUGUAUAUUUUUUUAAAUUUGUUUUGCCAAGAUGCAGAUCGAUAGUAUCUUUUCUUUCUUUUUUGUUGACAGUGUCUUUUGAUAGAUAAGUAAUUUU
This 1590-nucleotide long non-coding RNA is filed under the name Canis lupus familiaris (dog). Its description in RNAcentral is "lncRNA (ENSCAFG00000054617.1)". The record is from RNAcentral. Lineage: Eukaryota; Metazoa; Chordata; Mammalia; Carnivora; Canidae.